Molecule: ribosomal RNA, 512 nt
Filed under: bacterium enrichment culture clone ALO1_GLFRUDD03FYUF5
Lineage: Bacteria
Description: bacterial SSU rRNA
Rfam family: Bacterial small subunit ribosomal RNA
Source: RNAcentral
GAGUUUGAUCUUGGCUCAGAUUGAACGCUGGCGGCAGGCCUAACACAUGCAAGUCGAGCGGAUGACGGGAGCUUGCUCCUUGAUUCAGCGGCGGACGGGUGAGUAAUGCCUGGGAAUCUGCCUGGUAGUGGGGGACAACGUUUCGAAAGGAACGCUAAUACCGCAUACGUCCUACGGGAGAAAGCAGGGGACCUUCGGGCCUUGCGCUAUCAGAUGAGCCUAGGUCGGAUUAGCUAGUUGGUGGGGUAAUGGCUCACCGAGGCGACGAUCCGUAACUGGUCUGAGAGGAUGAUCAGUCACACUGGAACUGAGACACGGUCCAGACUCCUACGGGAGGCAGCAGUGGGGAAUAUUGGACAAUGGGCGAAAGCCUGAUCCAGCCAUGCCGCGUGUGAAGAAGGUACUUCGGAUUGUAAAGCACUUUAAGUUGGGAGGAAGGGCAGUAAGUUAAUACCUUGCUGUUUGACGUUACCGACAGAAUAAGCACCGGCUAACUCUGUGCCAGCCGCCGC